GACGGGGGGGGCAAGUGUUCUUCGGAAUGACUGGGCGUAAAGGGCGCGUAGGCGGUGAAUCGGGUUGAAAGUGAAAGUCGCCAAAAAGUGGCGGAAUGCUCUCGAAACCAAUUCACUUGAGUGAGACAGAGGAGAGUGGAAUUUCGUGUGUAGGGGUGAAAUCCGUAAAUAUACGAAGGAACGCCAAAAGCGAAGGCAGCUCUCUGGGUCCCUACCGACGCUGGGGUGCGAAAGCAUGGGGAGCGAACAGG
This 251-nucleotide ribosomal RNA is filed under the name uncultured bacterium. RNAcentral's name for it is "partial 16S ribosomal RNA". It matches the Rfam family "Bacterial small subunit ribosomal RNA", at positions 524 to 776 of the family's 1533-position model. The record is from RNAcentral.